CCCUUAGACGUUCUGGGCCGCACGCGCGCUACACUGACCAGUGCAACAAGCAUCCGUCCUUGGCCGACAGGCCCGGGCAAUCUUUGAACGCUGGUCGUGAUGGGGAUAGACUUUUGCAAUUUUUGGUCUUCAACGAGGAAUUCCUAGUAAACGCAAGUCAUCAGCUUGCAUUGAUUACGUCCCUGCCCUUUGUACACACCGCCCGUCGCACCUACCGAUUGAAUGGUCCGGUGAAGCCUCCGGAUUGGCGCGCACCUCGGUGCCGCCGAGAAGUUGGCUAAACCUUACCAUUUAGAGGAAGGUGAAGUCGUAACA
RNAcentral lists this ribosomal RNA (315 nucleotides) under uncultured eukaryote. RNAcentral describes it as "partial 18S ribosomal RNA". It matches the Rfam family "Eukaryotic small subunit ribosomal RNA", at positions 1470 to 1796 of the family's 1831-position model. The record is from RNAcentral.